RNAcentral lists this transfer RNA (74 nucleotides) under Pleomorphochaeta naphthae. RNAcentral's name for it is "tRNA-Arg". It matches the Rfam family "tRNA". From Rfam's summary of the family: Transfer RNA (tRNA) molecules are approximately 80 nucleotides in length. Their secondary structure includes four short double-helical elements and three loops (D, anti-codon, and T loops). The record is from RNAcentral. Lineage: Bacteria; Pseudomonadati; Spirochaetota; Spirochaetia; Spirochaetales; Sphaerochaetaceae. RNAcentral also lists the same sequence under 4 other names.
GCGUUCGUAGCUCAGCUGGAUAGAGCGUCGGACUUCGAAUCCGCAGGUCGAAGGUUCGAAUCCUUCCGAGCGCA